GGUGAACGCUGGCGACGUGGAUAAGGCAUGCAAGUCAAACGGCCCUUCGGGGCAGUGGCAGACGAGGUAGUAACACGUGGGAACCUACCCCAAAGUCAGGAAUAACUACGAGAAAUCGUAGCUAAUACUUGAUAGUCCUCAAGAGGUAAAGAUUUAUCGCUUUGGGAAGGGCCCGCGGAAUAUCAGCUUGUUGGUGAGGUAAAGGCUCACCAAGGCUAUGACGUUUAGGGGAGCUGAGAGGCUGACCCCCACCGAUGGUACUGAGAUACGGACCAUACACCUACGGGUGGCCGCAGUCGAGAAUCUUCCGCAAUGGACGAAAGUCUGACGGAGCGACGUCGCGUGAUCGAUGAAGUCUUUAGGGAUGUAAAGGUCUUUUAUGAGUGAAGAAGUUUAUUGACAUUAGCUCAUGAAUAAGGGGUUGCUAAACUCG
This 433-nucleotide ribosomal RNA is filed under the name uncultured bacterium. RNAcentral's name for it is "bacterial SSU rRNA". It matches the Rfam family "Bacterial small subunit ribosomal RNA", at positions 28 to 505 of the family's 1533-position model. The record is from RNAcentral.